UGGUCACUACCAAGGCUGCUAGGAAACACCGUUUCUGGUAUGCUGUGGACGUGACCACAAAGUAACUCCUGCAGGUUUUCAUGUUGCUGCUACAGUAGCAUCAAAUCUGUUGGAAACAUUU
This 121-nucleotide small nucleolar RNA is filed under the name Pogona vitticeps (central bearded dragon). RNAcentral's name for it is "Small nucleolar RNA SNORA32 (ENSPVIG00000007774.1)". It matches the Rfam family "Small nucleolar RNA SNORA32". From Rfam's summary of the family: ACA32 is a member of the H/ACA class of snoRNA that guide the sites of modification of uridines to pseudouridines. The record is from Rfam by way of RNAcentral. Lineage: Eukaryota; Metazoa; Chordata; Lepidosauria; Squamata; Agamidae.